UACGAACUGUGCGAACGUUAUUCGGAAUCACUGGGCUUACAGGGUGCGUAGGCGGCUAUUCAGGUCAGGUGUGAAAGCCCCCGGCUCAACCGGGGAACUGCGCUUGAAACCGAGUGGCUCGAGUCAGCUAGAGGUACACGGAACUUCCAGUGGAGCGGUGAAAUGUGUUGAUAUCGGAAGGAACGCCGGUGGCGAAAGCGGCACACUGGAUCUCAACUGACGCUGAGGCACGAAAGCCAGGGGAGCGAACGGG
This 253-nucleotide ribosomal RNA is filed under the name uncultured bacterium. Its description in RNAcentral is "partial 16S ribosomal RNA". It matches the Rfam family "Bacterial small subunit ribosomal RNA", at positions 524 to 776 of the family's 1533-position model. The record is from RNAcentral.